This 694-nucleotide ribosomal RNA is filed under the name uncultured bacterium. Its description in RNAcentral is "bacterial SSU rRNA". It matches the Rfam family "Bacterial small subunit ribosomal RNA", at positions 111 to 823 of the family's 1533-position model. The record is from RNAcentral.
UAACGCGUGGAUAACCUGCCGUAUACCGGGGGAUAACACUUAGAAAUAGGUGCUAAUACCGCAUAAGCGCACGGCUCCGCAUGGGGCAGUGUGAAAAACUCCGGUGGUAUACGAUGGAUCCGCGUCUGAUUAGCUAGUUGGCGGGGUAACGGCCCACCAAGGCAGCGAUCAGUAGCCGGCCUGAGAGGGUGGACGGCCACAUUGGGACUGAGACACGGCCCAAACUCCUACGGGAGGCAGCAGUGGGGAAUAUUGCACAAUGGGGGAAACCCUGAUGCAGCGACGCCGCGUGAGUGAAGAAGUAUCUCGGUACGUAAAGCUCUAUCAGCAGGGAAGAAAAUGACGGUACCUGACUAAGAAGCCCCGGCUAACUACGUGCCAGCAGCCGCGGUAAUACGUAGGGGGCAAGCGUUAUCCGGAUUUACUGGGUGUAAAGGGAGCGUAGACGGCAGCACAAGUCUGGAGUGAAAUCCCGGGGCUUAACCCCGGAACUGCUUUGGAAACUGUGCGGCUGGAGUGCAGGAGGGGUAAGCGGAAUUCCUAGUGUAGCGGUGAAAUGCGUAGAUAUUAGGAGGAACACCGGUGGCGAAGGCGGCUUACUGGACUGUAACUGACGUUGAGGUUCGAAAGCGUGGGGAGCAAACAGGAUUAGAUACCCUGGUAGUCCACGCCGUAAACGAUGAUUACUAGGUGU